This 498-nucleotide ribosomal RNA is filed under the name uncultured bacterium. RNAcentral's name for it is "partial 16S ribosomal RNA". It matches the Rfam family "Bacterial small subunit ribosomal RNA", at positions 899 to 1397 of the family's 1533-position model. The record is from RNAcentral.
ACUCAAAUGAAUAGACGGGGACCCGCACAAGCGGUGGAGCAUGUGGUUUAAUUCGACGCAACGCGAAGAACCUUACCUAGGCUAGAAUGUGAGGGAAGGGCUUCUAACAGAGUCCGUCCGGGAAACCGGACCCAAAACAAGGUGCUGCAUGGCUGUCGUCAGCUCGUGUCGUGAGAUGUUGGGUUAAGUCCCGCAACGAGCGCAACCCUUAUCAACAGUUGCCAUCAUUAAGUUGGGAACUCUGUUGAGACUGCCGUUGAUAAAACGGAGGAAGGUGGGGAUGAUGUCAAGUCAUCAUGGCCUUUAUGCUUAGGGCUACACACGUGCUACAAUGGCCGGUACAAAACGUCGCAAUCCCGCAAGGGGGAGCUAAUCGCAAAAACCGGUCUCAGUUCGGAUUGAAGUCUGCAACUCGACUUCAUGAAGUUGGAAUCGCUAGUAAUCGCGGAUCAGAACGCCGCGGUGAAUACGUUCCCGGGUCUUGCACACACCGCCCGU